AUUUUUUAAAAAUCACACUCACAAGUAAAAAAUCAGUAAUUUGUUUACAAAGUGUAAUAUACCAGUACAGUGAAUUCAUCUUAAAGAAUGUGGCUUCUCAAGUUUUAAAUGUCCCUUGGUUUCCAUUUAAUUCAUGGUUUAAAAUUUGGUUGUGUUGCAUAACAUGAGAAACCUUUGUAAUGGAGCCUAGGCCCUUAACACCUCCUCUUAAUUGCAACAUAAGUGAGUAUGAAACCUGGAAACUAAAUUGUCAAUAUCAAAUCAAUGAGGUACAGAUUAUCUUAAUAAAAUUUAUAAUCUGUUGUGUGCAGUCAGUAACCCCAACACACAUUACUGCUUUGCAAUAAAUUUUGAAUGGUUUGCAUGUCCUUUGAUAACUGAAGAUUUUUCCUGCUUUUUUCUCCAGGUCUCAGUUUGGCAAAAUCCUUCUUAUUUUGGUUCCUGUGACUCCAGAAGGAUGGCUGCUGCUGUUUUCUUCUGCAUCAAGAGUCUUUUUGUUAGCUCUAACUUGCUGCUUCUGCUUCUCUAGCUUCUGUUUCUCCAGCUGUGCUUGGUAUUUUCAAACUUUAGCUGUUUGGUUGGCUUUUGCUUCCAUCCUUCCUAGUAAUGCCUCUAGUUCACACUGCAUUCUUUCAGUUCAGUGUUUGGUAACUCCCGUGUAAGUUUUGCAAGCUGUUGGUGAUCAAACGUCAUCUGGCAAAACUCAUCCUGUAAAGUCUAUAAGAGUUCUGACAAUUCUUGAUUGAUGCUUUUGGAAGAGUUUAACAAAGGAUUCUUGAAAUCAGGAAAUGAGGUUUCAUUAAGUCGCUGAACUGGACAAACUGGUGAUCCUCCUGCUUCAGUCUCCCAGGGUGCUGGGAUCACAAUUCUCAGCACUGAACAGGAGAUUCUGGACGUUGUUCUUUAGACCCCUGUAAUAAAAAUUAUUUAUUCAGCACAUCAAUAAAUGUGAGGAAAUGAACUUGGGUCCUUGCGCUUGCACAGCAGGUGGCGAAACCACUGAGCCAAAUCCCAGGCCCGAGACAGGAUGAUUUUAUACUGCUCUCUGUGACAGUGGAAGGGACGUCAGCCAGGAAUCCAGCUGGCCUAGAAGCUGGAGAAGGAAAAGCUGGAAAAGACCAUUCUAUGGAGACCCCCAGAAGGAAUCCAGACCUGCUGACAUGUUGAAUUCAGCUUUGAAAAACCAUUUAGUUUUCUCGAGCUUAAAAUUUGUAAAAUAAUACAUUUGUAUUGUUUUAUGCCACUCUGUAUAUGGGAGUUUGUUACAGACUCAAUAAGAAAAGAAUAUGGUGUUAUAUUGAAUCAUCACUUCCCAACUCUUAUCAACUUGUUUAUUUUAGCCUACAAAGAUCCAUUUUAGACUUCUCACCCCAGUAUGAAAGAUGAUAAAUCUGUUUUAUUCUGUUAAAUUUGUAGUAAAAUGUUACAGUAAAAUUGGGGAAUUAAAUUAGAUUUUUAGUUAUCUACCCUUAGUUAUGCAGGAAAUUGGUCUUAUGGCUCUGCCAGGAAGUUCCCUC
This 1517-nucleotide long non-coding RNA is filed under the name Heterocephalus glaber (naked mole-rat). RNAcentral's name for it is "lncRNA (ENSHGLG00100036879.1)". Lineage: Eukaryota; Metazoa; Chordata; Mammalia; Rodentia; Bathyergidae. The record is from RNAcentral.